RNAcentral lists this ribosomal RNA (328 nucleotides) under uncultured eukaryote. Its description in RNAcentral is "partial 18S ribosomal RNA". It matches the Rfam family "Eukaryotic small subunit ribosomal RNA", at positions 1470 to 1796 of the family's 1831-position model. The record is from RNAcentral.
CCCGUAGAUGUCCUGGGCCGCACGCGCGUUACACUGAUGCAUUCAACGAGCUUAUAACCUUGGCCGAGAGGCCUGGGCAAUCUUGUUAACGUGCAUCGUGAUAGGGAUAGAUUAUUGAAAUUAUUAAUCUUGAACGAGGAAUUCCUAGUAAACGCAGAUCAUCAAUCUGCAUUGAUUACGUCCCUGCCCUUUGUACACACCGCCCGUCGCACCUACCGAUUGGAUGGUCCGGUGAAGCCUCGGGAUUGUGGUUCUUGCCGCUUUAUUGUGGCGUGACCGCGAGAACUUGUCUAAACCUUAUCAUCUAGAGGAAGGUGAAGUCGUAACA